RNAcentral lists this long non-coding RNA (10722 nucleotides) under Lactuca sativa (garden lettuce). RNAcentral describes it as "long non-coding RNA (LSAT_LNC006483)". The record is from RNAcentral. Lineage: Eukaryota; Viridiplantae; Streptophyta; Magnoliopsida; Asterales; Asteraceae.
UGUAGAAUACCAAGUUGUUGUUAAUUUGUGAGAACUAUUGAAAUUUUAAACUAAAAAUCACUUUUAUAUAUACGACCAUGAGACUUACAUAUGUUUGUCAAAAACUACCAUAACUGUCUUUUGUCAAAGCAAACUUGCAGUGUAAUCUUACCAUUAUUUUCUACAGAUAGAGCAAAAUCCUUUUGGCUUUUGCAAUGCAUUGUUUCCCCAGACAACAAAUCAGAAUGCAAACGACUUGUUAUAUUCAGAAACAUUGAAUUAAACCCCAAUUUAACAAGGAUUCAUGCCUCUCAUACUCCCCUUGGGUUAUUAAACAACUUCUAUUUAUGUCUAAUUGAGACAAUUCUUCCAAUCCUAUGCAGAUUUAAUCUCCUACACAGAUUUAAUCUCCUACAUCAAUUACAAACACAACAGAGCCAUUAGCCGUAUAGCUUAACAACAAAAUAAGCAAAACUUAUACCUUUAUAAAUGAAGAUGAAUAAGAUCACUAUCAUGUUUCUUGUAAUUUGUUUAGUGAGUGAUAUAAAUUAGAGCUUACACCCUUGAUUACAGGGAAGGACAAAAGUGUGUGUAGAUACGAAAAACAUAACUCAAGACAAGGAAUGAAACAAUGAAGAUGUCACACCCCGAAAACCAAAGGCGGAAACAUUUCCGGGGUUGACUCCACGUUGAGUAUCAAAUCCAAUGUACAUAGUAAUCACAGUAAACAACCAUUACAUUACAUAUAUUUGAAAGUUUACAUUUGUUUCAAAAGUAAAUUGUACAAGUUUUAUACAUAUAUCAUAUGAACAAAAGUUGAGACGAGUCUUCUGAGCACUCUGUCUUCACCAAAAGAUAUCGCCGGGUACCUGUCUAACGUGGACCUGAGAAUACAAGCAGUUUGAAAAUCAGCAUAAAGCUGGUGAGUUCAUAAGCAGUUUUGUUUUGUGAAAAUGUACCAGUUUCCUUUAGUUUUUCCGAAAAGGUUUGUUAUCCAAGAAAAUCUCAUAUUUUCUUAUGUUAAACAGUUUAGUUAUCUUUCAUUACAGUUCAAUUACGCGUUAUACGAUACCCCAGGAAAAUCCCAUAUUUUCCUAAAUGCAAGACCGAUUGAAUAACACAGAGUAUAGUUUAAUACACAAAACUAUAUAUUGAGAAUCAUAGGAUUACUAUCCCGAAUUAGAUAUAAAAUACUUUAAUAUACACGAACUGUAGAUAGAAAGUAGUUUGAAAACCUUGGGACUAACAUCCCGAACUAGAUACAAGAUAGUUUGAUAUACUUGAAAAUAUAGAUUGAAAACCAUGGGAAUACCAUCCCGGACUAGAUACAAAAUAGUUUGUUAGAAACCAUGGGAUUACUAUCCCGAACUAGAUAUAUGAUAGUUUGAUAAAACCAUGGGAUCACUAUCCCGAAUUAGAUAUAAGAUUUUUUAAUAAAACCAUGGGAUCACUAUCCCGAACUAGAUAUAGAUUCUAACCAUAGGAAUAACAUCCUGCAAUAGAUAUGAACCCUGUAGACUAAAAACCAUGGGAUUACCAUCCCGAACUAGAUAUAAGAUCUAAAGAUAGAAGAUUGAUAUAAAAUCAAAUCCAAAACCAAAGCCGUGAAUAAACUUAUAUUAAUACGUAUUGUGAGUCGGGUAACCAUGCUGAUACAACAACGAGACCUCCUUGACGCUUGUCAGACGUCGGACGAUAUCCAGAAUUUGUCACCCCAGGCGUGCCCGCCUAACUGUAGCUAGCAGUUAAGGUGUGGGAUUGUCAGUCCCGAAUAGAUCUAUUCACAAAUUCCUCGCUCUCCCUCCAGGAGACUCUGGUUACACUUCCGGGGAGGAUUUACUGAUCAUCCAUAAAGGGUAGUGACUAACUCACAAACUAGUACUAAACUAUUAACAGGGUUCUCAUACGAUAUCAAACAUACAAAAGAUUAUGAAACAUAAUACAGUGAAUAUAGGUACAUACUAUGAAACUAUCUGACAAUACAUUCAAAUGAUACGGAGAUAAACUGAAUCAGACAUAGUUUAUCUAAUAACUUUAUAUACAUAUCAGUACAUGAUAAAACGAACACUAAAGAACCCCAAAUUAUUCCUAUAAUAAUUUGAUUAGUUUGAUUAUUUUCUUAACUAAAAUCCAUUUAGUUGUACUUGAUAAAUCAUCCCUUAUGCUCAGCAUAAUACAUAAAGGGUAAAAAUGUUUAUAAGUUUGCCAGAUAUUAUUUGAAACAUAUCAAUGUUAUAAUUCGAAAACACUUAUAGUUUGCUUGUAUUCCCCCCUGAAAACAUUGAAAAACACGGAAAAAGCGUAGGGGUAUGAACUCACCGGACGAGAAACAUGACGAUUUAGGAUGCUAAACGUUGGAUCGGGGCUUGCAAACGUACGAUAUUCCUAUGUAUAAUGAAAAGAUACACAUUUGUAUCUAAUUAGGACUUAGAUUAUUUAAUUGUUAGGGACAAACACUUUUAGUCGCGGAUACACCCCAUUACAAGUGUGUGGAAGGACUCGGGUGGCGUUUAAGGACUUGAAUGACCGGGAAAUGGAGUUUACUCUUCAAGAGUAAACUCAUACAAGAGUUUUCAGCCAAUAACACCCACUCCCCAUGAGUUUACGGCAGUAAACUCAUGGUGGGGUCAUUUGUGGGCAAAAUGGCUAUUGACACUUAAGGGGAAAAUUUCUAGGUUUGGUUUAAGGGCUUGGAAUAAAUUUUAAACACCAAAUGGACAUACUUAAGGGAGUUUACGGCCUAGCAUGGGACUCAUGGCCGUAAACUCCUAUAUACCCAUGAAUAAUUGUGUUAAUGAUUCCAAACAAAUCACAUGUGAUUGCUAAAAUUGUUCCAAGGCCUUACAUGAAUUUUUAUGGAACUUUUGAGGUGUUUUUGGAGUUUACGGCCCAUGAGACCCCCCUCAUGGCCGUAAACUCUCCUAGAGUGUGAUUCAUUAUGUUUUAAGGCCAAAAAACUUGUUUGUAUACACUUCUAAAAAUUAUUCUAAGGCUUUAGGGGUGUUAAAGUGGCUUUCUAACACCUUUGGAGGAGUUUACUCCCCAUAUUAUGGAGUUUACGGCCCAAGCAUAAGCCUUGGCCGUAAACUCUCAUUUGUCCCUCAAAAUAUAUGUUUAAGGCCCUUAAACCAUUUUUAGUUGGUUCUAUGAUUUAUUCCAAGGCUUUUGGUGAAGGUAUAUGACUUUAUAACAUGUUGAAAAUGAGUUUAUACUCAUGUUUGAGGGGUUUACGGCCCAAAGCAUGUGCCUUGGCCGUAAACUCCUUCAAAUCCCUCAAAAUCCAUGUCUAAAGUGUUCUAAGUCCAUUCCAUGAAGUCAUUUAGCCAUAUCUAAGUCCCAAAAUUGUUUAGGAGGGGUUUAAAGGCAUAAAAACCCCUUUACUAUGUGUUUACGGCCCAAGCUCCUUCCAGGGCCGUAAACUCAUAUACAAGGUCUUAAUUCAUGUUUUAAUCUCGAAUUUGAAGGCCAAAUAUGCUAUACAAUGAGUUUAGGAAGGUACCUUAGAGAUUUGAGGCCUUAAAAUUGAGUUUUGGACCCUUAAACUUAGAUUUAGGAGAGAGGUUAGAGAGAGAGUAGUGAGAGAGAGAAAAAGCUUCAAAUGAAAGGUUUAACACGUUUAUAUAGGUCGCAAAACUUGGACACGGUGGAAUUCUACCCGAUACCGGCAUUAAACGGGGCUUUUGGUCGCACCCGAUUAAGUUUCUGAGACUCGGCGGGGACGUUCCUAAUAUUUAUGAAAUACAUAUUUUAGGCUAAUUUCAUGAGUUCCUAAGGGGUUUGGACACUCAUUAGCAUCAAUUAAAUAUAUAUAAGUUAAAUUAACUUAACCCAAAAACGACAUCAGAAUGUUUCGAUAUACGACGAGUUAUACGGGUAGAACGGGGUUUUCGGCGAUGAACAACUUCGGGUUGUUACAGAAGAAAUAGUCACCUUCCGUUGAAGAACCUUGGCACUCUGUUCUUUCUCGUUAAAGCGAAGUAAUUGGGGCUUUCUUCAAGUUCAAAUUCAAACUUUCUUAUUAUGCUUCAGAUUCAGCUUCAGAAGCAGAAGCAGAAGAAGUAGCACCAGCAGAAGCAGAAGAAGUAGAAGCAGAAGUAGAAGCAGCAGCAAAAGCAGAAGCAGCAGAGGAAGAGGAAGAUGAAGAGGAAGAGGAAGAGGCAGCAGCGCCAGCAAAAGAAGAAGAAGAAGAAGUGACCUGUGACAGCUCACAUCCCGAUAAACUUAAAACAGAGAGUUUCCGGAGACUGAGAAUAACACCUACCCAAUGAUUUGUUUUGGCCAAUGAAAUCCCAUCCAUGUGAAGUUCCUCCAAAUGAGAUAGAUUAGACAACCACUCGAGGUUCUCAAAUCUACACCUUCCAGCAUAUGAAAGGAGAAGCCAUUGCAAGUUGGUGAGGUUUCCGAACUCUGGAGGAAUGGUUCCAUGAAAAGAGUUAGAUGAAAGGUCAAGGUACCAUAAUUCAGUCAAGGAACCAAUGGACCUGGGAAUGGUACCAUUAAGAUUAUUGCCGCCAAGGAGAAGGGACCUUAAAUGAGUCAACGAACCAAUGAAGGUGGGAAUGGUUCCAUGAAAAGAAUUUCCGGAAAGAUCAAGAUAGUUCAAGUAGGUUAAGUUAACCAAUGAAUGGCUAAUCUCACCUACAAGACCACAGGACAUCAGAUCAAGCUCUGUGACAUGACCACCUUUUUGGUUGUUGCACGUCACUCCACUCCAUUCACAGCAGUUGUCUUGUUCAGCUGUCCACGUAGAGAGACGAUCAUAUAAGGGUCUUGAAUGUGAGAUUUGAAAUGAAGGAGACCAUCUCUCUCCUUCUCAAAACACUUAUCAUCUCCUCCUCCCACUUCUGCGCGCCAAUUGGUUGGCAGUUGUAGUCUCAAGACAGAAGAAGAGAAGUGAGAAUAUUAUAAAAACACAAGGACUCAUGAUGUAAAUGCAAAUCUUGGUGAUUUUUUUUGUUUGUAUGGAUGAAAAUUUAAAGAUGCUCCAUGCAGCUUUAUAUAGUGCUGCAAACUGUGAAAAUGAAGGAUUCAGUAAUUCUCGUGAGAACGGUAGGAACAUAAUUCUUUUUUCCUUUUUUUUUCAUCAAUAUGAAAACAUUUUAUAAGGCUAAAAAAUAAUAAAUUCUGGGAUUUUUUUUAUUAAAAUAAAACACUAAAAAGAUGAAAAAUCAAUUCCAUAUUCAUCAAUGAAAUAAAAUGCGCUAUAAAACACAUCCUACAGCAACAACCAUAUAGAUGUCUAUUUAUAGGUCAUAAAAAGAUAUUAUGGUAUUUUUGUUUUUAUUUUUUAAAAAAAAAAUAAUGCCGUAAUAGAUAAAAAAAUUUAACAAUACUCCUCAAUGAAAACAUCAUAAUAAAAACUUUGUACAUCGAUAUGGAUGUAUAGCUGUACAACAUAAAAAUAUAUAAAUUUGGGUCUUUUGUUUUUUUUUCUUCGAAAAAUAAUAUUACCUUAAAAAAAAAUACUGAAAUUUAUUAUUUUUAUGCUCUAAAAAAAGAUAUCAAUAUAAAAGGUUCCUACCAUUUUUAACAAGAAUUAUCUUUCUUGCGUUUACACUUUAUACACACCUAGUGAGUUGUGAUUCGUGUGGAGCAUAAAAUCCUUAUUUUCCUUUGAAAUAGAACCAAAGUAUAAAAGAAAUUAGAAAAGACGAAUUGAAAUAAACUGCCCCAAAUCAAACGUUCAAAGAUUUAUACACUGUGUAAGGCAUAAAAGCCUUAUUUUCCUUGAAAUAGAACCAUUCAAACUAUAAAACAAAUUUAUAUUAAAAAAAAAAAAAAAAAAAAAAAAAGGACAAUUGUAAUGGAUAGCUAGCCCCAUAUUAGACUUUCAGGUCAUGGAAAUUUGUAUUUUUCCUAUACAUAUCUUUUUUCAUCUAGUCAUAUCUUUUGAUCCUCUCUUUAUGUCAUUGUAAAUUCACAAAAGCAAACCAAUCAUUCAGGAAAAAGGACAAAUGGUGGGUUAGUGCCUGGAAACAACCAUAUAUAGCUAGCUGUCCAGAUCAAGUGCUUAAUUAUUAAGCCUAUUAAGUCAUAAAGAAUCAGUCCCUAAUUGCAUAAGAGCUGAGUGAUAAAUGAUGAGUCUCCAGAGAAUGUAUUGGAUAAAAUAAGGCUAAUUAUUUAUGUAUUUUGGAUUGAAUGAACCAUUUGAAUAAGAGAAAACAACCAUUUUACCCUUCUAUCUAAAAGUAAUGUAGAAUACCAAGUUGUUGUUAAUUUGUGAGAACUAUUGAAAUUUUAAACUAAAAAUCACUUUUAUAUAUACGACCAUGAGACUUACAUAUGUUUGUCAAAAACUACCAUAACUGUCUUUUGUCAAAGCAAACUUGCAGUGUAAUCUUACCAUUAUUUUCUACAGAUAGAGCAAAAUCCUUUUGGCUUUUGCAAUGCAUUGUUUCCCCAGACAACAAAUCAGAAUGCAAACGACUUGUUAUAUUCAGAAACAUUGAAUUAAACCCCAAUUUAACAAGGAUUCAUGCCUCUCAUACUCCCCUUGGGUUAUUAAACAACUUCUAUUUAUGUCUAAUUGAGACAAUUCUUCCAAUCCUAUGCAGAUUUAAUCUCCUACACAGAUUUUUAUGAAACCAAUUAGAAAAGUUCCAACCUCCAACAUAAACAUUAACCCAGAAACAACUCUAAUUUAUGGAAUCUAUUAAAAAUUUGUCAAUUGAAACAAAAAGGCACCGUUUAACGUCAAAACUGAAAAUUAAUAAUAAUAAUAAUAUUAAAUGUGAGCAAGAGAAACAUUAUUCAACAGAAAAUGGAGAACAGAGAGUCGAGAAGAAAAAUCGAGAUUAAGAGAACAAAAAGAGAAUAGAUAUAUCGAGUAUUGAAUAGUUGAGAUGAUCCAACAACUUACCUGAUGGAAGACCGAGGGAGGAACGACGAAGACAUCUUGGAACAGUGAUGGAAGAUGGAGAAGAGAAGACGAAGUGAAGGCUGUAAAAACUGAAAAGAAAAGUAGGGUUAAAGGAGGACGAGGAUAAACGAGUAAAAAUCAAAUUCAUAAGCUAAAAGGGGAUAACAAAACCAAACCCACAAACCAAAAAAUCAAUAAUCAACUAGAAAUGUAACCCAUGCUAUGGACGGAGGCGUUUUAGAGCUGCAAAUGUUUUUUUUCUUUAUUUAUAUAAUGCAUGUUUGUUUUUGAAGAUGAAGUUUUUCUGUUAAUGUAAGACAAUUGAUAAAUUGAAAACCACAUCACAAUGUUAUUACAAAUGUAAAAUUGUAACUCUAAAAUAUUUAGAGUUUUCCCAAGAUAUUCUGAUGAUGGAGUAAUGAAUUUGAUACAAACCUUCAUCAAUCGGUACUAAUUCCCUGCAAGCUUUUUACUAUUUUCACCUAAGGGGUAAAAACAGAAAGAAAUCAACAUUAUUUGAUUCACAAUGAUUGCAAGUAUUUUUUUCAUUUAAUUAAGAAUGCAAAAUGUACUUGCUCAUCUUUACAAAUAUAACCUUUCAUCCACCUCGAAAAUGGCAAUAUUCAUAUUCUCAUGCAUUGCUACACUCCUUUCUUUUGAGUACCAAAAAUCAUACCUACCUAAAAUAUUUUCACUCUUCACCAACAUACCAUAGGGACAAAACCUAUAUCCCGUGCAAUUUUGGUCAAUCCUAAAAGUUGUUAGUAGAAAAUAAAUUUGUUUUAAAAGGAUAAAGAACAUGCUCCAUGAUUCAAAAUAAUGGAAUAGAAAUGAAAUUAGAGUCUAUAUACUUGGAUGGAAUGGAAUAAGCAAGGUUGCUUUGGUAGAAAUGGAACAAACUUACUUAAUAUAUAUUUUAAAGUUAAAGAUAAUAGAAGCUUACUAACCCAAAUAAGGUAUAACAAAAAUAAGAGUGAGCUACAAAUUUGGUACCUAUGGCUAUACUACAGUUAAAAUUGCAAAACUCGCCGGUUUUAAGAGCCCCUUUCUUUGUAUCUUGCAUGGUGUCCAUCGUUUUGAAACACUACAAAAUUUCACUGACAAACUAUUAGUAUUCAGUUCGGAUAAAGCUAAAGGAUAAAGCUAAAUCAGUUAAACAAACCCAUGAAUUAACUAACCCCUAAUCAAAAUCCUAAUACGCUGACUGUCGGCCAAAGCCUUCCUGCAAGCAUACUGAAAAAGAAAAAAAAAUCUUAAAGAUAGAAACUGAUACCAUUUCACUUCACAAUCCACUAUCAUCACUAUUAACAUAUAAAUUUGAAACCAAAUCAUAAAAGUAUUUCAUAGGAUUCACUUGUUCUUCAUCGAUCUGAUAUUACAAGUGCUUGUCGUCCAAAAAUCAUCAGAAAGAAUAGAUAUUUUCAUAGUUUUGCCUUGUACACAUAUCAUAAGUAAUGAACUCUCAAUGUACUUGAUGUAAAUUUGGACUUGAAAUAAUGUCACAAAAAGGGUAAGUGCAAUGUUAUUAUGUGAUAUUUAAGAAAGUAGAAUGCUAAUUUUCAACUUCAAAGAGCUAACUAAAAGUAAACACCAAAUUGGAUACAUACACAAAAUAUUACAUAAGAAUUGCAAUUGUUCCAUUUUAUUUCAAUCUUUCAGCUGUUUUGCAUUGUUCCAUGUCAAUGAAAUUGAUAAAUUUAGAUAUUUAAUACAUAAUUCAAAAUCAAGAAUUAUUAAAAUUAUUUAUAUUUUUAUACUGACACUUUAACCAUUUCUUGGAAAUGUGGAAACGUAGCUAUAACAGAUUAUAUGCUGGGGACACAAAUAUUGUCUUCUACUAAUAUAUUCUGGGAAAUUUAAUAAUUAGAAAAUAUGACUAUGGUACAUAUAAAGUGAUGUUCAAUGUAAAAAAAAAUGGUCGUUUCUAAUAAUUUACCUUUAUGGGGAAGUUGCUAACAGUAACAUUGAUACACACCAUUACACCUUAUGCAAAACAUAAGCUUGUUUGGGUCACCGGUCCUUUUACAUACCUGGGUUUUAGAAAAGAUAUGUAUACAAAUUAAAAAAGCAGCAUUUUUAUUAUAUUCAAAGUCCUUACCGGUAAUAUAGGCUAAAUACAAAACUCAAAAUCAAAAAACAACAUCAUGAACGCCUUAAAAGAGCUCAAAAAACAAUUAAAAUCUACAACCCCUGUGAUAAAUGAACUAACAACCUAGAUCAAUGGAUUUACCUUCGCAUUCCUGCAAGUGCCAAUACAUCGGACUUAUAAUUCUUUGCUACUUCAUAGUUACUCAGACAACCACCUAAAUCAUUAUAGCAAACCCUCCCUUCCGUUGAAACGGCUUCUAAAUCUAAGAAAAUUAGCACAGGAGCAAUCUUGACACCCAAAUAUUAGACAAUAGUUUUCUCAUCCAACACGCCAGAGAACAAAUUGGCUGCUAAAAACAAACCUUUUAAGGAUUAACAUAACAAACUUGUUAAAUUUUAGAAAACCUGACACAAAUACCUGGAGAAAAAAAAAAGCAUACAUCUAUAAAAAAUUUCUUGCUUCUUGCUUUCAAAAGACUGUUUGAGGGAGAUGGGGGGUCAAUUUUUCAUAGGGAAUAGCUCUGCGAGCUGCAAAAAGAAAAUGAAAACAUAAAAAUCAACAUGUUGACAUCAUAAAAUCCCGAAAUAAUCAUACCGAUAUAAUAAGAAUCUAGGUCAAUAGAGCAUAAAUCAUAAAUCGAUGACUUCAACAUAAAUCAGAUACAUAACUCCAAAAUAAGUACCGACGAUGUCAAUAGCGUAAGUCUGAAGAGUGCGGUUGAAUUAUGAUCGAUGAAUUUGAUCAGAACUUGAAGAGGAACCCACCGACAAAAAAAAAAAACUGUAUUAGAAUGCUUCAAAUUCAAUGAAUUGAGACAAUAAGUAUCUAGCCAGGAAGAUUAAAAAACAGAUAAAAUAAAUAAAAUGAAUCGACUUCUUGAAGAUGUUGAAAAUUACCAAAUUGGAACCCCGACUUCAAAUUAAAUCUGACAACCUGGAACAUGAAGGACGGUAACGGCGGCAACAAAUGUUUGAGGGUAUCUAAAUUCUUAGUCAAAGAAGAAGCAGAAAGAUCGGUGGCUGAUAUGGAUAACAGAAAAAGAUAACCCACCUAGGGUUUGGAAGUGAGACAGGGAAGUCGAUCGAAAAAAGAAGUGAGCUUCACAAAUUCCAGAAGUAGGAAUUAAUAGGCUUCAUCUCGUUUCCAGAAAAAUGAACGAUUAGCUUGAAGCAGGAAAAGUUCGUCUGGUGGUAGCAAUAGAUGAUUUUGUGGGUUCAUUAGUUGGGAAUUUUGAGGUCUUCUUCUCAACCUGUACCGGCACAGCUUUGAGCGAUUAGGGACGAUCUGCCUCUUUUCAAUCUGCUAUGCUUUUCGCCCCUCAAUCAGUCGAUUGUAAGUGUUGUUGGACCGCGAGAAGUAGUAUUGGAGACUUUGUGAUCGGGUGAGAGAUGGUCUGUAGGAAUUGUUCCAUCUUGUAAACGAUUGAAUGUUCAAAUAGAUGGUGAUUGAAAGAAAUCAGGGUUUGUGAGACAUUGUUGCGAUCGGAAUGAACAACGGGAUGGGGAAUGCAGCUGCAGAUGCCAGCUUGGCCGGAACAGCCAUAAAAAACAGGUGCAUCAAACAGAAACGAUAAUGUAAAAAAAACAGAGUAGCAUAAAGAAAAUAUAGAAGCCUAACGGAGAGAAAUUACCUGGGGAAGAAAAGAACGUACAACGAAAAGCAAAAGCGGCGGAGUUUCAGCGAAGAAGAAUGCGGAAGAAAGAAGAGAGUACAAGAGAGUACCACGUGGAAAGUGAAGGACAGUGAAAAAGACACGUAUAAUCUACAAUGAUUCGUCAGCAACCGGCGGAUGAAG